AGCAGCCGCGGUAAUUCCAGCUCCAAUAGCGUAUAUUAAAGUUGUUGCAGUUAAAAAGCUCGUAGUUGAACUUCGGGGUUUACCCAUUGGUCAGGCUUAAUUGUCUGUACUGGUGAGAUAAAUCUCUACCUUCUGAGGAACUUUCAUGCCAUUUAUUUAGUGUGAUGGGAAAUCAGGACUGUUACUUUGAAAAAUUAGAGUGUUUAAAGCAGGCUAACGUCUGAAUACAUUAGCAUGGAAUAAUGAAAUAGGACGGAUUGAUUCUAUUUCGUUGGUUUCUAGGGUCACCGUAAUGAUUAAUAGGGAUAGUUGGGGCAUUAGUAUUCAAUUGUCAGAGGUGAAAUUCUUGGAUUUAUUGAAGACUAACUACUGCGAAAGCAUUUGCCAAGGAUGUUUUCAUUAAUACAAGACGAAAGUUAGGGGAUCGAAGACGAUCAGAUACCGUCGUAGUCUUAACCAUAAACUAUAGCCGACUAGGGAUCGGAUGAUGUAAUUUU
RNAcentral lists this ribosomal RNA (497 nucleotides) under uncultured Acaulospora. Its description in RNAcentral is "SSU rRNA". It matches the Rfam family "Eukaryotic small subunit ribosomal RNA", at positions 569 to 1069 of the family's 1831-position model. Lineage: Eukaryota; Fungi; Glomeromycota; Glomeromycetes; Diversisporales; Acaulosporaceae. The record is from RNAcentral.